This 286-nucleotide signal recognition particle RNA is filed under the name Macaca nemestrina (pig-tailed macaque). RNAcentral's name for it is "Metazoan signal recognition particle RNA (ENSMNEG00000015657.1)". It matches the Rfam family "Metazoan signal recognition particle RNA". Rfam says of the family: The signal recognition particle (SRP) is a universally conserved ribonucleoprotein. The record is from RNAcentral. Lineage: Eukaryota; Metazoa; Chordata; Mammalia; Primates; Cercopithecidae.
GAUGGGCAUAGUAUCUCGUGCCUGUAGUCCCAGCUUCUCUGGAGGCUGAGGCAAGAGGAUAACUUGAGUCCGGGAGUUCUGGGCUGUAGUGUGCUAUGCCAAUCGGGGGUCUGCACUAAGUUCAGCAUCACUAUGGUGACCUUCCUGGAGCAGACAGACCACCAGGUUGCCCAAGCAGGGGUAAAAAGACCCAUGUUGGAAAUAGAGCAGGUCAAAACUCCCAUGCUGAUCAUGGGACCAUGAUCAUAGUGGGACCAUGCCUAGGAAAUAAGCGAGACCCUGUCUU